Molecule: transfer RNA, 71 nt
Filed under: Loxodonta africana (African savanna elephant)
Lineage: Eukaryota; Metazoa; Chordata; Mammalia; Proboscidea; Elephantidae
Rfam family: tRNA
About the family: Transfer RNA (tRNA) molecules are approximately 80 nucleotides in length. Their secondary structure includes four short double-helical elements and three loops (D, anti-codon, and T loops). Further hydrogen bonds mediate the characteristic L-shaped molecular structure. tRNAs have two regions of fundamental functional importance: the anti-codon, which is responsible for specific mRNA codon recognition, and the 3' end, to which the tRNAs corresponding amino acid is attached (by aminoacyl-tRNA synthetases). tRNAs cope with the degeneracy of the genetic code in two manners: having more than one tRNA (with a specific anti-codon) for a particular amino acid; and 'wobble' base-pairing, i.e. permitting non-standard base-pairing at the 3rd anti-codon position.
Source: Rfam by way of RNAcentral
ACAUUGGUGGUUUGGUGGUGGAAUUCUCAUCUUCCAUGCAGAAGACCCAUGUUCAAUUCUUGGCCAAUGUA